RNAcentral lists this ribosomal RNA (405 nucleotides) under uncultured bacterium. RNAcentral describes it as "partial 16S ribosomal RNA". It matches the Rfam family "Bacterial small subunit ribosomal RNA", at positions 30 to 526 of the family's 1533-position model. The record is from RNAcentral.
AUUGAACGCUGGCGGCAGGCUUAACACAUGCAAGUCGAACGAGUGGCGGACGGGUGAGUAAUGCGUGGGAAUCUGGCUUAUGGCGGGGGAUAACGCCGGGAACCUGUCGCUAAUACCGCGUACCAUAGGAUGAGCCCAAGUGGGAUUAGGUAGUUGGUGGGGUAAUGGCCUACCACGCCGACGAUCCCUAGCUGGUCUGAGAGGAUGACCAGCCACCCCGGGACUGAGACACGGCCCGGACUCCUACGGGAGGCAGCAGUGGGGAAUAUUGCGCAAUGGGGGAAACCUGACGCAGCCAUGCCGCGUGAAUGAAGAAGGCCUUCGGGUUGUAAAGUUCUUUCGGUGACGAGGCGUUAAUCACAGAAGAAGCACCGGCUAACUCCGUGCCAGCAGCCGCGGUAAUUC